This 775-nucleotide long non-coding RNA is filed under the name Nicotiana benthamiana. Its description in RNAcentral is "long non-coding RNA (NBEN_LNC034277)". Lineage: Eukaryota; Viridiplantae; Streptophyta; Magnoliopsida; Solanales; Solanaceae. The record is from RNAcentral.
UCCGAAGUACGGGGCAGACGAUUGGAACAUGACUUGAAUCAGAAGGCCUUUACUACCUUAACUCGCUAAAAUCUCCCAAGGCAUAUGUAGUUACAGAUCCUCCGGACCUAAUUCACAGACGUUUAAGACAUCCAAGCUUAUCCAAGCUUCAGAAGAUGGUACCUAGUUUGUCUAGUUUAUCCACAUUAGUUGACUCGUGCCCUCCAUUGUGGUAUAUAUUUUAUUGAUGAUUUCUUUAUUAUGCAGGUCCGAAGUACGGGGCAGACGAUUGGAACAUGACUUGAAUCAGAAGGCCUUUACUACCUUAACUCGCUAAAAUCUCCCAAGGCAUAUGUAGUUACAGAUCCUCCGGACCUAAUUCACAGACGUUUAAGACAUCCAAGCUUAUCCAAGCUUCAGAAUAUGAUACCUAGUUUGUCUAGUUUAUCCACAUUAGAGUGUAAGUCAUGUCCGCUCGGGAAACAUACCCGAGCCUCCUUUCUUCGUAGUAUUGAGAGUCAUGCAGAGUCUGUCUAUUUUUUAGUUCAUUAUGAUAUAUGGGGUCCUAGUAGAGUCAGUUCAACCUUGGGGUUUCGUUAUUUUGUUAGUUUCAUUGAUGAUCAUUCAAGAUGUACUUGGAUUUUCUUAAUGAAAGAUCGUUUUGAGUUUUUUUUAUCUUCCAGAAUUUUUGUGCUGAAAUUAAAAAUCAAUUUGGUGCUUCUAUUCGUACUUUUCGCAGUGAUAAUGCCUUAGAAUAUUUAUCCUCUUCAUUUCAACAGUUUAUGACUUCUCAAGG